This 401-nucleotide unclassified non-coding RNA is filed under the name soil metagenome. RNAcentral describes it as "partial contains 5.8S ribosomal RNA, internal transcribed spacer 2, and large subunit ribosomal RNA". The stretch from base 1 to 121 matches the Rfam family "5.8S ribosomal RNA", at positions 35 to 154 of the family's 154-position model. The record is from RNAcentral.
GAUGAAGAACGCAGCGAAAUGCGAUAAGUAAUGUGAAUUGCAGAAUUCAGUGAAUCAUCGAAUCUUUGAACGCACCUUGCGCCCUUUGGCUAUUCCGAAGGGCAUGCCUGUUUGAGUAUCAUGAACACCUCAACUCUCGUGGUUUGCUACGAUGAGCUUGGACUUUGGGGGUUUUGCUGGCCUGUGGUCGGCUCCUCUCAAAUGAAUCAGCUUCCCAGCGUUUGGUGGAGUCGCAGGUGUGAUAACUAUCUACGCUUGUGGUUUUUCGCCAGAUAACCUUUGGUGACGGAGGUUCGUUGGGGCUCAUAAAUGUCUCUCCUCAGUGAAGACAGCUUUUGAACGUUUGAUCUCAAAUCAGGUAGGACUACCCGCUGAACUUAAGCAUAUCAAUAAGCGGAGGA